Molecule: non-coding RNA, 2641 nt
Organism: Pelobates cultripes (western spadefoot toad)
Lineage: Eukaryota; Metazoa; Chordata; Amphibia; Anura; Pelobatidae
Source: the annotation of a GenBank genome assembly
GUUUGCUUUAUUUGUUUAUGUCCACAAAUAUUUCCAAAAAAAUUACAAAAUACUCAAAAUGGAGAAAACACAGAAGUCACGAAUUUCUGGGUUUCUACCCCCAUGGCAAACUACUCCUAUAUACAUUAAAAUCUUCAAGAUAUAUAUAGAAAUGGAGCAGUUGGAAUUUACAUUCUGCUAAAUGGCGCCAUGAAACAAGUAGCCUUACAGUUUUUAAACACACUGAACGAGGUACGUCGGAAAUUACAAAAAAGGAAAGAAGAAAAAGUGUGCAGAAAGAACAAAAAUGAAAGUGAAUGCAAACGGUCCACGUAACAUUUUUCCUGCCAGCAGAACCUGCAGAGGUAAAGAUGCAGCCCCUUACUGGCAGAUAAAGUGUUAACUUUCCAAGACAGGGAGGUCUGAAAAAAUAAAAAUAAUUACAGCAGGCCUCUCCAACAAUGAAUACACACAAGUCAGUGUGGAUAAAGUGGCGAAGCACCCCAGCACUCAGAUUUUGAGGUAAACGGGAAUAUUAUAUGUAUAUAUUUAGAAGGAGGCUUGGGAGCUUCAUACACUUAGAUCUGCAGAUAACCUUCAUUUAGUGUUAUACAAAACUAGAAUACUGUAUUGUCAGCUAUCAGGACGGGAUAUUAUAGAAUGAUAUUGGGAAAUAUUGCAGCGACUGUUAAUGGCUCCAAUGAUUUACUAAUGAAGGUGGCUGUGGGUUGUCACACUUCUCUGUGUCAGGGUCUGACUACAUUUCCCAAUCAGUGACUCGCAGAGAGCAUAGAGAGAUAACCUCUAAAUACAGCAUGAGGGCCAAGGCUGGACAACUCAGCUCUACAUGGGUACAUGUUCGAAUGCAUGUGACCCAUCCGACCAGACACUUUAUCAAACUGUGUAUAAUAAAACAGUACUUAUCUCAGGAGGGAGGGGGGUUAGAGAGAGUCUCUGCAGUGGAAUAUUACAAAUUAUGACUUAGCACCGUCUUGUGCAAAUAGGAAAAGGUAUCCUAGUGGUGCUAUGGCUGGUGCAAUGCAACAAUCAUGGUUUCCUUUCUUUGAUAUCUGUCAAUAGCCAAGUGUAUGUGUGAAAGAUGGUGCCAGGAGAUUAUUGGCAGAGUGAAGGGGUGCUUGCUAUCAGCAUUUAUCCAUCACUGUCUGGCACAGCCCUGAGACGCUGAGGGCCAGAUAUAACAGUCAGAGUGGCAGGGAGUUGCUAGGAGACUGCUUGAACGAUUUCUGGACAAAUGUAUGAAACAGUUUUGUGGUAUUGGGAACGGCAUGUAGGGUAGAAUUUAGCAGCCCCCGCCUGCCCUUUAGAGAUCACACAAGGAUUAAGCAGUUACUAAGUGUGCCUUCAUGGUUCUAAUCUGCACAGUCCUGUACCUUUCUUUAGAUUAAAGGCCUGCUGCUGUAAUAUUGGUAACGAUGCAGGGUGAAAAAUUAAAUAAAUCUGAAAAAAAAAAAAAAAAACCCACAUGAAAUAAAAAAAUAAGAGCCCAGGUUUAAUAGAAUCUGUACAAAUAAAACCCUUGGCAUUAAGUAUAGCAGGACUGAAACACUAAAAUAUAGGAGGAUUUUUUCCUUAUAAAUUAAAUAAUAAAAGUUCUAACCCUGCAGAAACUUUAACGCUAUAAAGUGAAGAUUCGCACAAGCCCGUGUGCGUUUUACCUCUACAACUUAAAACGCUGUAGCCCCUAUCUACAAUUGAGACACAAACUUUUAAGGAGAAUUUUCGGACAAAAAAAAUAAAAAUAACUUUUCACAAAUUGUCCAGGAUCUGAAUCUGUGUUAUAAAAUGGAUGUGUUGUUUAGAAUAAUAUUUGAAAAAGGGGCAAUGCUGUUCGGACUUAGAACGGAACACAUUGUACAAGAGACCAAAAGGGUGAAAAAAAUGAAAAUGGGUGAGAAAAUAAUAAAACAAGGUUUUUGUUUUACCAACAAAUUCUUGGUAAUAGUUGGGUGUAUUUGUGGGUACAUUGAGUUGUGACCACUUUGCUGCCAUGAGAUAAUAGCUUUAGGUCCUACUGGCAGAGAAGAGGUCAACAGAAACCCGUCUCUUGCAGGUUCGAAUUCACAGGUAGUAACUGCAGUGCAGGGACAGGAAUAGAAAGGUACUUUUAGCAGAGAGCUUUCCUCUAGUCCUUGCUUAUUUAUGUUUUUACAGACUGCGGGCAGACCAGUGCAACUUUGUACAAUGAUGGGGUUCUCCUGUCGAUGUAAUAAAAUAAAGGAUUAAUCUGUAGCACAGCACAAGAAACCCUUAUGUGCUGGCGGAGCGCGUUGGUUCUUUGUAACCAUGUCUCUGGCUUCAAUUGCACACAGUGAGUGUAUGGGUAUUAGCACCUCUAGUGGAUGAGGUGUUCUCGAAGAGUAAGAAUCUGUUGUAGUGUCCGAAACUGCCCCCAUCUCCCUCCAAACCUGCUCCCUCCCAAGGCUAGGGAAGAAAGUGUCAUGCAGGGGGUGCCAGGCUGAUUUGAGGAGUCUUCUUUACAGAUGAAGGAAAGUAUGUGGCUAGUCUUAUAUAGAGGAGUCUUGCAACCUCUGGGGACCCGUUGUAUGGAGCCUGACUCUCUAAAAGAGAGCUGGAGGGGGGGGAAGGAGUCCAUGUCACCUCAAAGUUACAAUUGCUUGUCCCCUUCUUUCUUCAGCCGACU